RNAcentral lists this microRNA (21 nucleotides) under Mus musculus (house mouse). RNAcentral describes it as "mmu-miR-299b-5p". Its record names the gene mmu-miR-299b-5p. Lineage: Eukaryota; Metazoa; Chordata; Mammalia; Rodentia; Muridae. The record is from miRBase by way of RNAcentral.
GGUUUACCGUCCCACAUACAU